Balaenoptera ricei (Rice's whale) is the source of this 321-nucleotide long non-coding RNA. RefSeq lists it as uncharacterized. NCBI's taxonomy places the organism in Eukaryota, Metazoa, Chordata, Mammalia, Artiodactyla, Balaenopteridae. The transcript is spliced from 3 exons. The record is from RefSeq and is a predicted model, not a curated record.
ACAAGGAGGAGUACAAUACAAGUUUGUUGAAUGAAUGAACACGGGUUUCCUGACUCCUGGGCUCCGAAACCACAGCUUUUUCCCUUCAUCUCUUACCAGGAACCCAGAGAGAGACUAAGGAGAUACGAAAGUGAAAUGGGCUCAGCAGCCAGGAAAGCCUCAUGUGAAUGAGUGGCAGGAACUCCUUGACCUUCUGGCACAAACAUUCAAAAUUGGGUUCCAGUCAGUUGGUGCAGGAAGAUCUCUCAAGAGGGCCUGUGGCUUGUCCCCACCAUCUGUGGUGCAGAGAUGAUCAUUCUCCCUGCCGUCUCAGGGACAUAA